Molecule: ribosomal RNA, 601 nt
Filed under: Citrobacter sp. wls713
Lineage: Bacteria; Pseudomonadati; Pseudomonadota; Gammaproteobacteria; Enterobacterales; Enterobacteriaceae
Also listed under: 1 other name
Description: partial 23S ribosomal RNA
Rfam family: Bacterial large subunit ribosomal RNA
Source: RNAcentral
GUUCUAACGUAGACCCGUGAUCCGGGUUGCGGACAGUGUCUGGUGGGUAGUUUGACUGGGGCGGUCUCCUCCUAAAGAGUAACGGAGGAGCACGAAGGUUAGCUAAUCCUGGUCGGACAUCAGGAGGUUAGUGCAAAGGCAUAAGCUAGCUUGACUGCGAGAGUGACGGCUCGAGCAGGUGCGAAAGCAGGUCUUAGUGAUCCGGUGGUUCUGAAUGGAAGGGCCAUCGCUCAACGGAUAAAAGGUACUCCGGGGAUAACAGGCUGAUACCGCCCAAGAGUUCAUAUCGACGGCGGUGUUUGGCACCUCGAUGUCGGCUCAUCACAUCCUGGGGCUGAAGUAGGUCCCAAGGGUAUGGCUGUUCGCCAUUUAAAGUGGUACGCGAGCUGGGUUUAGAACGUCGUGAGACAGUUCGGUCCCUAUCUGCCGUGGGCGCUGGAGAAUUGAGGGGGGCUGCUCCUAGUACGAGAGGACCGGAGUGGACGCAUCACUGGUGUUCGGGUUGUCAUGCCAAUGGCAUUGCCCGGUAGCUAAAUGCGGAAGAGAUAAGUGCUGAAAGCAUCUAAGCACGAAACUUGCCCCGAGAUGAGUUCUCCCUGAC